UGGGGAAUAUUGCACAAUGGGGGAAACCCUGAUGCAGCGACGCCGCGUGAAGGAAGAAGUAUUUCGGUAUGUAAACUUCUAUCAGCAGGGAAGAAAAUGACGGUACCUGAGUAAGAAGCACCGGCUAAAUACGUGCC
RNAcentral lists this ribosomal RNA (137 nucleotides) under uncultured bacterium. Its description in RNAcentral is "partial 16S ribosomal RNA". It matches the Rfam family "Bacterial small subunit ribosomal RNA", at positions 355 to 509 of the family's 1533-position model. The record is from RNAcentral.